AUUCCCAUCCCCUCAUCCUUCUAGGACAGAAGUGGCGGUUGCUGACGCCUGGAAAUCCCCCUGAAGGUGGAGCACUACCCAACCCCCCUGGGUCCCACCCUCCCUCAAGGCCUCCUCCACCUCCACCUCCACCCCGCCUGGCCUGGCGUCCACCUCUUCGGCUCCUACCUGGGUGCAAUCGAGUUAAAUGGCUGAUAAGCAGAUCAGCCUGCCAGCCAAGCUCAUCAAUGGCGGCAUCGCCGGGCUGAUCGGUGUCACCUGCGUGUUUCCCAUCGACCUGGCCAAGACCAGGCUGCAGAACCAGCAGAACGGCCAGCGCGUGUACACCAGCAUGUCCGACUGCCUCAUCAAGACCGUCCGCUCCGAGGGCUACUUCGGCAUGUACCGGGGUGAGGUUUGGCUCGGCUGGGCUCGAUAUGGGCAGGCCUGGGUAGCGCCCGCGAGUCGUGGCAGGGAGCGGUGGGGGAGGCAGGGCAGGGCGGCCAGCCUGGGCCUGGUGUGUGAGCGUGGACGUGUUUGUGGGGGCUGUGCCUGUGCAGGGGGGACUGGAUCUCUGGUGAGUGGCAGUUCUCAGCCUCUCCCGUGG
Molecule: small RNA, 586 nt
Filed under: Pan troglodytes (chimpanzee)
Lineage: Eukaryota; Metazoa; Chordata; Mammalia; Primates; Hominidae
Description: retained intron
Source: RNAcentral